AAACUUACUUUACAUUGGAAAAUAAUUUUUUUUUGAAAAUUUACUUAGUUUGGAAACCAAACCCUAACACCUCUUUCCUCUCUCCGCUCCACACCCUAACGCUCUUCCUUUCUUGCUCCACACCCUAACGCUCUUCCUUUCUUGCUCCACACCCUAAUGCCUCUUCUCUUUCUCUCUGCUUCACACGAAACCCUAACGCCUCUUCCAUAUGGCUACUCCACACGAAACCCUAAUGUCUAUGUCUUCUCACAAAACCCCCUGUUCUUCACGAAACUAAAGCUCACUCUCGGGUCCGCCAUCACCACCUCCGUGCAAGGAUUCAACACAAUCAAUCGUUUGUUCAGGUUUGUGCUCGCGCGCCCUAAACUCUAUCUUCAAAAUCUAUUGUUCAAAACCGUGUGUAAUCUAUCGUUGUUCUUAAUUUGUUGUUCUUAAUUUGUGAAGCAAAUAUUGUGUAUGGCUUUGCUACUGUGAUAAAUUUACUGUGUUAGUGUGAAGUGAGGUGAAAACUGGUUCGCUGGUGAGUGUAGUAAUUGAGGGUUUGGAGAGGUGGCAACUGGCAACAGUGGUUCCAUGUCUGAGAAUGUCGAGCUUGGUUGUAGUGGUGUUGGCAGAGGAGUUGCAACUGUGAGGGGAUUUCUUAUGUGAGAUUGAAGAAAAGGAAAUAUCAAAAUAUUAAAAAAGAACUAAUUAUCCCUUCAGAUUUUCGCUGGAAUUCAUUGGAUACAUCCCUGUUCACUUAUAAGUUGAAUAUAUUUUAUUGCUCUGGAAAAUUUAAUAGCAUAUUAGCAAUAUCUGUUGAAUUCAUGGUUAAAACUAUACUAUAGUUGUGGCAUAUUUUUCAUAUAUUGGUUUCACAAUCCUGGGUUUUGUGAAUAUAUUUACAAAGGAAGUAAAUUAUAUUGCAAUACAUGGUCUAAUAUUUCUAUGGUACAACAGGGGUUGUUUACAAAUAUAAAAUUAGCAAUAAUCCUCUGUCACUAGUUUUUGUUAGUGACCAAUAUACUAUAUUCUUAAUUUAGAGACUCUUCAUAUACACAUCUGGUUGUGUUCCCUAGCUGUCUUUGCCUUAUGUUUUUUUUUAUGCUAAUUACUAAACACUUUAUAUCAUAGCUGAUCUUACAUAAAUCUCAAAUAGUCAGGUGUUGGAUUUGAGACUUCUGUUCCAUGUUCUUACAUACUUUGGUUGCCCUCUCUGCUUUGUUGGUGUUGCAUUGGGUUUGUAUUUUUUUUAGUUAUUUAGCAUCUAUUGUAAAUUAUAGCAGUGUGAAAGAGCGGCAUUGUUUAAUGUGUAAUCUAUAUACUCUUUAGCUUAGUGAUGAAGAAUUAUUCUGAUAUAAAUAAUGUCUCUGAAUCUAGGCAAUUCAAGGAAAAAUUGAUUUUGUAGUUUUAUCAUAUAAAAACCAUAAAGUACAGCAUGAGUUUGAACUUUGAAGUGAGGUGAAGAGGAAAAUUUCCUUUCUCAUAAAAGAUAUGUGAUUAUAAGAAAAUAGUCCUAACUAAAUGGCUAGUCAAAGUAUUAAAGUUAUUUUACUUUAUAUAUUGUAUUUUCCUUUACACGACAGCAAGUAGAAAGUUGUAUAUCAAGGGUUGAACAGUCACCGACAGAUUCUAUGCAAAAUGCACUCUCUCCAUCAUUGAAANNNNN
This 1648-nucleotide long non-coding RNA is filed under the name Phaseolus vulgaris (common bean). RNAcentral describes it as "long non-coding RNA (PVUL_LNC003490)". Lineage: Eukaryota; Viridiplantae; Streptophyta; Magnoliopsida; Fabales; Fabaceae. The record is from RNAcentral.